UAGGGAAUCUUCGGCAAUGGACGAAAGUCUGACCGAGCAACGCCGCGUGAGUGAAGAAGGUUUUCGGAUCGUAAAACUCUGUUGUUAGAGAAGAACAAGGACGUUAGUAACUGAACGUCCCCUGACGGUAUCUAACCAGAAAGCCACGGCUAACUACGUGCCAGCAGCCGCGGUAAUACGUAGGUGGCAAGCGUUGUCCGGAUUUAUUGGGCGUAAAGCGAGCGCAGGCGGUUUCUUAAGUCUGAUGUGAAAGCCCCCGGCUCAACCGGGGAGGGUCAUUGGAAACUGGGAGACUUGAGUGCAGAAGAGGAGAGUGGAAUUCCAUGUGUAGCGGUGAAAUGCGUAGAUAUAUGGAGGAACACCAGUGGCGAAGGAGGCUCUCUGGUCUGUAACUGACGCUGAGGCUCGAAAGCGUGGGGAGCAAACAGG
RNAcentral lists this ribosomal RNA (429 nucleotides) under Gemmatimonadota bacterium. RNAcentral's name for it is "Gemmatimonadetes bacterium partial 16S ribosomal RNA". It matches the Rfam family "Bacterial small subunit ribosomal RNA", at positions 355 to 776 of the family's 1533-position model. The record is from RNAcentral. Lineage: Bacteria; Pseudomonadati; Gemmatimonadota.